CCUGAGCCACUGCACCUGGCCACCUUUCACCCUUCCAAAAAGCAGCCUGUACCUUCCUUAGGUGCAUGAAGGUGAAACAAUGCCCCGAACAGGCAGGAGGGAUGUGCUUUCCUCCCCAGUCACUGGGAGUCCUGGGAGGUAUCACUGCAUUACAAAUAUAACCCACACCAAAGGCCCCUUUUCUGUCGCACAGAAUCUGUCUCCAAGGAUUCUCUGGAAAUGGAAAGUGGGAACUUGUGGGCCUUUGAGAUGGAGCAUAGUAUAGUUGUCUUCCUUUGGGUUAUAGCCUUCAGAGAGGUGCUCCUUUUCACCUUGUACAGCGUGGGCUACAAGAGGCUCUUGCCACCUUUUGCAUGUGACCAGGGAGGGAAAUGGACACCCCUCACUAGUCAGAGGAUAUUACACAUCAAUGCCCCCCCACAUCAGUGGACGUUUCUUUUCACAACUUCUUUCAUUUCUUCCUGUUUCAGUGUCUAGAACUUCCUGUUGCCACACUCUGCUCCCUUGAACUCCUUUCUAUAGAAAUAAGGGUGUUCUUGUCCCUUCAUCCAUUCUUCAGCCCUAAAAAUUUCACAGCCUCAGUCAUUUGCUAAGGAUCUACCACUUUUUAGCUCUUUCAAGCUGCUGUGGUCACAGCAGAGGAUGAUGUAAGCUCCUCUGCUCCCCUGCAUGGGGCGGGAGGGGCCGGAGAAGUGAGGGAAGAGUGGGGGCCCAGGAUUUCUCCCUUGAUUAUAGAGAUGUGGUGGAGGAUGGGGAGGCAGACGGAAAGAAAAAUGUCCCAGCUCACCCUGGCACAGAGACAUUGUUCCACAAAGAAUGCUCACUAAAAAAAUGUUUAUACUAUCAUAUUAACUUGUAAAAGAGCAAGCUAUAACAUUUUAUGUUCAAUGUAAUACAUUUUUAUUAAGGCAUAACUCCCUAAAAAUGGCUGGGUAAAAGCCUGGAAAGAGAUACACAAAUGUUAGCGGUGGUUGCUUUUUGGACGGUGUGACCAUGGCGAUUAGAAAUAUUUUUUCCCAACUUUUCACAAGAAACAUAUGGCUUUUCUCAUUUUUUUAAAAAAACGGGGUGGGGGAAAGAGCAAUUAUUUUAAGCCAGAAUGUCCAAAAUGAUGCCGUCGAGUCCAACACAAUAUUUUAGACUUUGUUAAUUCCUUUCUGUACAGGAUAGAAGACAAAGGAGGGGCUAAUCUACUUUAGCCAGAUCUAUCAAGCAAAGCAGUGGGAGUUGUUCACAUAUAAGUUCUGUACCCCCUAAAGGAGGCCCAAGUUAGUUUCUUGGCCCAUGUAAUGAAUGCUUUCUCUCUAUUGACUUUCAUUUUUUAAUAUUCUCUGUCAUGUGACAUAACAAGUCAAUGCUCCAUAAAUAUUGGUCAGUUGAAUGAAUUAAAGAAAAUAUUGAUGCUUACAGGCAGAUAGUUUUCUAGAAAAAUCUGCUUAUUUUUCUGAAUAAUUAUGAAAAACGACAUGAUUUCUAUUUUAAAAAAAAGAGAUAAUGUAUCUAUUGUCGACGGACGGUGGAUGUGAGCCAUGUGUUGUGUUCAUACUCGGAGAAUGAAGGAAAACAUCAGAGACUGGGUAAGACAUAAGCAUGAUUUUGAAGAAAUCAAUUGAAAUUUUAUGGAAAGGAACGAGGAUGUUCCAGGCAUGUGGAUUAGCUUAUGCCAAGAUCUGAUGGCUAAAGAAAGGUGAGCAUAGAGGGUGGCCAGGUUGUUGACGGGAGCAGAUGGCGUGGGCUAGAAGGAUCCUGGCAGGGGUCACUGAUAGAUAGAGGAGGAGAGAAACCCGUAGACAAACAGAUUAGAUUUCCCUCUGAUGCUGGUAAAUGCGGAGCUUUUUGUAAGUUUUGGGGGAAAGUGUGUUCCCAAACACAUAUCCUGCUCUCUUGCUCCUCUUUCUAUGGCAAAGGAGGAGAAAUUUCUUCCAGAGACAUAAGCAGGAGGAAGCUGGAGCUCUCUCCUGAGUGAUUGUCAGUUGCAGAGGAGGUGAAUAUCACAGGACAAGCAAGCGUGGGGGAGAAGACUGCCUAGACAUUCUAAAGUGGCUGCUCUGGUUGGGUGGACUGAGGGUUCCCUCCUGCAAGUUCCUGCUGAGUGUGGCUGUCCUCAGGAAACCAAGUCCCCUCUGCGGCCCUACGUGAAGAGAUCAGGAGUUACUCAAAUCCCAGCCAUCGGAAGGAAUCUUAAGCCACAUAUGAUUUCAGAGAAAGUUUCUGCUUUAUAGGGCAAAGGGGUGCCUAGGACUGAGCCUUGUAUGUGCUAAAUGCCUUGUACUAUUGAAAUGAACGAAUAAAGAGGUUUGUGGACAGCAAGCUAUAGUUCAAACUCACAUAUCCUGAGAAAGACAAGUAAUGGAUUUUCCAUUUUCAUCUAUCAGAUGGGCAAAGACCAAAAAGUUUAGUAAUCCACUGUGUUGGAGAGGGUGUGAGAAAAUACACUACCUCAUACAUUGCUGGUAGGAGUGUAUUUUGUUUAAAAUAAUCCAUGUAGGGCAAUUUGGGAGCAUCUAUUUAAAAAUACAUAUGCACAUGGCCUUUGACCCAGCACUUCCGUUUCUAGGAAUUUAUAUUAUGGAUAUACUAGCAUAUGCAAAAUGACAUUAUGUACAAGGGUAUUUAUCAUCAUAUCAUUUAUAAUAGGGCAAAGUUAGGAAUAUUCUAAUUGUCCAACAAUUAGGGAACUUGUUAAAUAAAUGCUGCUGCAUCUUAAUGAAUUUUUUUAGCUAUACAAAAAAAACGAGGACGCUUCUUACAUGCCAACGUGAAGUGAUUUCCAAGAUGCUGAUAAAUGAAAGCAAUCAAAGUGGACAAUAUUGAGUAUGUAAUGCUAGCAUUUAAAAAAGGAGAGAGCAAAAAUGCAUUUGCUUGUAAUGCUUUUAUCUGAAAAUAUAUAAUUGAAACUGAUAACAUUGUUUGCCUCUGGGAAAGAGAACCAGAUGGUUGGAGGGACAAGGUUAGGUGGGAGACUUUGAUAAACAGUAUUUGUACCUUUUGAAUUUUAAACAGCGUAAAUGUUAUUAAAGUUAUAUACUCACAACAAACAAAUGUAUACACUUUGAU
Molecule: long non-coding RNA, 3057 nt
Filed under: Homo sapiens (human)
Lineage: Eukaryota; Metazoa; Chordata; Mammalia; Primates; Hominidae
Description: HSALNT0332735
Source: RNAcentral